RNAcentral lists this transfer RNA (72 nucleotides) under Candidatus Pacearchaeota archaeon. RNAcentral describes it as "tRNA-Trp". It matches the Rfam family "tRNA". Rfam says of the family: Transfer RNA (tRNA) molecules are approximately 80 nucleotides in length. Their secondary structure includes four short double-helical elements and three loops (D, anti-codon, and T loops). The record is from RNAcentral. Lineage: Archaea; Nanobdellati.
AGGGGCAUAGUUCAACGGCUAGAAUGGACGGCUCCAGACCGUCGGAUGUCGGUUCGAUUCCGGCUGUCCCCA